Micropterus salmoides (largemouth bass) is the source of this 941-nucleotide long non-coding RNA. RefSeq lists it as uncharacterized. The transcript is spliced from 3 exons. The record is from RefSeq and is a predicted model, not a curated record. NCBI's taxonomy places the organism in Eukaryota, Metazoa, Chordata, Actinopteri, Centrarchiformes, Centrarchidae.
AAUAACUCUCAAUGUACAUAUGGGCAUUUUAGCAUUGUAGUCAUGUUUGCUUGAAGAAAUGUGUUUAGUUAUUCAUUUGCUUCUUUUAUUUAUUCUCCUGUCAGAAGAGAGAGGUCUUUGCAACAACAACCUGAGGCUGGUGAGAGACCACACAACAGAGCAGAGGAGACAGAUGAACUUCAUGCGAGCGUACAGUGCGUUAGGAACCAGCCAGAGGCUCUCUACUCCAACUUCAGCCCAGCUCAGCCCCUCAGAAACAAGGAGGAGGUUGUUUACGCGACCCCCAUCUUCAACAGUGCCGCAGGAACAAGGCGUCAAGCAGCUGUGGAGGAUGUAUCUGCCCUGUACAGCAGAGUUAAUAGAAGCCACUGAGUGUGAUGACAACAUGGAUCUGUGGUCUGUAUUUAUGCAUGGACUUUCGAUGGGCCCAUUAAAUUUUUCCUCAAGACAGAAUUGGUUAAGAGUGCAAAAUUAAGGCAACAAUAUUUCAUUUAUAUCUUAUAUUAAUGAAGGACAGGUAGAUUAAAUAUUAGAUACCUCUCUAACGGUUACAUUAAAACCUUCAUGAAAGUAGGAUUUAUCACAGGACAGUUGUGUUGAACGGCAUUAGUUUUAGAUCAGUGUACUUAAUAAUACACUUCCAUCUUUUCAGGACAAUGUUUUUUUUCUUGUCUUUUUUUUUUACUGUUUUGAUUAUUAUAUGAUCACAACUGUUACAAUGUAAGUCAUUCACAUCUAUUGCCAAUAUUUUUAUGCUCAUUUUCUGAAUUUGUAUUUUAUUGUCAUUUCAAACUGAGUAUUUACAUUUCUUUACAUGUUUUGUAUUGUUUUUUCUUGCAUGGGAAAUAGUGAGUAAGACUCCUUGUGUUUGGCCUGAUGAGUGACAGCUUGGAAACACUUGUACAAAAUGUAAAUGGAUAUAAACUUUAUUUUUAGCUGCA